CUAUUAUCUCCUUUGUCGUCCCUCUCCUCUUCUCCUUCCUCCUCAGUCGCCUUUUUACCGAUUUGUGUGCUCUUUUUCAGAAUUUUGUUUGUCAAUUAAUUUAAUUUUUUUUUCCUUUUAAUGUUCAUCUAAAUUUGUGCUUAUCUUAGCUUUGUCAUUGAGGUAAUAUAUGUCAUAGAAAUUGACUUCGUAUAAAUUUAUUGUAUAAACUUAUUACUCUUAGUAAUAGAUUUGUUUUUUUUUUAAGAUACAAAUGACAUCGUAUUCAAAUGAUGUUGUUCUUUUGAGCAUUUUGUCAAAAAGUGUUCUUUUUAGUGUAUUAAUUUUCUAACAAAUUUAUGAGAGCAGUAAUUAUUAUUUUGAUCUAAGUCGUAGAUAGAGACUACAACUUCUAAAAAUAUUAUUUCUCUUUUUUUUUUUUUGUACACUACUGAAUAAGUCAUUUGAGUUACACAAAAACUAAUAGAGUAAAAUUUUUUUUAAAAAAAACUAUUUAAAUUAGCAUGUCGCAUCAACAAACUAAACAUAGUAUAUAGAUUGUUGGCUUAUAGAUGUAUGAAAAGUGGGCUUUUACAAUUUAACGGUAAAUAAAAACUAACUAUUAUUAUUUUUAAAUUUAUUUGUAUGACUAUCAUAUAUUCCUUCAUACUUUUUCUUCCAUUCCUUUAUAUUCCGUACUAAUUUUUUGAUGCACGACAAUUUGGAUGUCCAUAAGCAAAUGCAAUAAUAAUUGGCUUUUAAAAGAAAUCUAAUUUGGAUUAGAAAAGAUGAUAGGACAGAUAAAUAUAUUUAUAUGAUUAGUUAAAUGUGAAUUUGAGUCUCUUUAGUUUCUCAUUCAUUAUUUGUUAUCCUUCAUACUAUUUCAAAUAUUUCUUUUAUUUUUUUUAACAUUUUUAUUUGUUUGUUAAAUAUGUAGUAUGUAGAUUUUUACUAAAACAUUCCUACCCGUCGCAUCGCACGGGUCCCUACGCUAGUAUAUAAUAAAGAGAAAACAUAAAAAUAUAAACUAAAAGAGUAAACUACUCAUAAUAUUAUAUAAAAA
Molecule: long non-coding RNA, 1042 nt
Filed under: Ananas comosus (pineapple)
Lineage: Eukaryota; Viridiplantae; Streptophyta; Magnoliopsida; Poales; Bromeliaceae
Description: long non-coding RNA (ACOM_LNC032456)
Source: RNAcentral